The sequence is a ribosomal RNA, 573 nucleotides long. It matches the Rfam family "Bacterial large subunit ribosomal RNA", at positions 1814 to 2601 of the family's 2925-position model.
CAUCGCCUCUUGAACCCUUAUAAGAGGUCCAGCCUGCCCAGUGACUCUGUUCAACGGCCGCGGUAUCCUAACCGUGCGAAGGUAGCGUAAUCACUUGUUCUUUAAAUGUGGACUAGUAUGAAUGGCAUCACGAAGGUUAUACUGUCUCCUUUUUCUAAUCAGUGAAACUAAUCUCCCCGUGAAGAAGCGAGGAUAAAACUAUAAGACGAGAAGACCCUAUGGAGCUUUAAACAUUUAUAACACUUGCUAAAUAAAAUACAAAUUUCAGAAUUAUUUACUCUUUAAGCAACUUGUCUAUAAGUUUUUGGUUGGGGUGACCGCGGAGCAUAAUACAACCUCCAUGUUGAAAGAUCUAUUUCUAAGCUAAGAGCUACACCUCUAAGCAUCAACAUAUUGACAUCCAUUGACCCAAUAUAUUUGAACAACGAACCAAGUUACCCUAGGGAUAACAGCGCAAUCCACUUCAAGAGCUCCUAUCGACAAGUGGGUUUACGACCUCGAUGUUGGAUCAGGGUUUCCCAGUGGUGCAGCCGCUACUAAAGGUUCGUUUGUUCAACGAUUAAAACCCUACGU